This 491-nucleotide ribosomal RNA is filed under the name uncultured Rothia sp. RNAcentral describes it as "bacterial SSU rRNA". It matches the Rfam family "Bacterial small subunit ribosomal RNA", at positions 1 to 507 of the family's 1533-position model. Lineage: Bacteria; Bacillati; Actinomycetota; Actinomycetes; Micrococcales; Micrococcaceae. The record is from RNAcentral.
AGUAGUUUGAUCCUGGCUCAGGACGAACGCUGGCGGCGUGCUUAACACAUGCAAGUCGAACGAUGAAGCCUAGCUUGCUAGGUGGAUUAGUGGCGAACGGGUGAGUAAUACGUGAGUAACCUACCUUUAACUCUGGGAUAAGCCUGGGAAACUGGGUCUAAUACCGGAUACGACCAAUCUCCGCAUGGGGUGUUGGUGGAAAGCGUUAUGUAGUGGUUAUAGAUGGGCUCACGGCCUAUCAGCUUGUUGGUGAGGUAACGGCUCACCAAGGCGACGACGGGUAGCCGGCCUGAGAGGGUGACCGGCCACACUGGGACUGAGACACGGCCCAGACUCCUGCGGGAGGCAGCAGUGGGGAAUAUUGCACAAUGGGCGCAAGCCUGAUGCAGCGACGCGCGUGAGGGAUGACGGCCUUCGGGUUGUAAACCUCUGUUAGCAGGGAAGAAGAGAGAUUGACGGUACCUGCAGAGAAAGCGCCGGCUAACUACGUG